This 396-nucleotide ribosomal RNA is filed under the name uncultured bacterium. RNAcentral's name for it is "bacterial SSU rRNA". It matches the Rfam family "Bacterial small subunit ribosomal RNA", at positions 30 to 431 of the family's 1533-position model. The record is from RNAcentral.
AUUGAACGCUGGCGGCAUGCCUUACACAUGCAAGUCGAACGGUAACGGGCCUUCGGGUGCCGACGAGUGGCGAACGGGUGAGUAAUGCAUCGGAACGUACCUUUCAGUGGGGGAUAACGUAGCGAAAGUUACGCUAAUACCGCAUAUUCUGUGAGCAGGAAAGCAGGGGAUCGCAAGACCUUGCGCUGAUUGAGCGGCCGAUGUCAGAUUAGCUAGUUGGUGAGGUAAAGGCUCACCAAGGCGACGAUCUGUAGCGGGUCUGAGAGGAUGAUCCGCCACACUGGAACUGAGACACGGUCCAGACUCCUACGGAGGCAGCAGUGGGGAAUUUUGGACAAUGGGGGCAACCCUGAUCCAGCCAUGCCGCGUGAGUGAAGAAGGCCUCGGUUGUAAGAC